This 1232-nucleotide ribosomal RNA is filed under the name metagenome. RNAcentral describes it as "bacterial LSU rRNA". It matches the Rfam family "Bacterial large subunit ribosomal RNA", at positions 1564 to 2808 of the family's 2925-position model. The record is from RNAcentral.
UGAAUACGAGACGCUAAGGCGUCGAAGUAGUGUAUGUCAUACUUCCAAGAAAAGCUUGCACUGUCAUAGAUAAAAAACGCCUGUACCAUAACCGACACAGGUGGGUAGGUAGAGUAUACUAAGGGGCGCGAGAUAACUCUCUCUAAGGAACUCGGCAAAAUAACUCCGUAACUUCGGGAGAAGGAGUGCCUUAUUCGUAAGGUUGCAAUAACAAGAUCCAAGCAACUGUUUAUCAAAAACACAGGUCUCCGCUAAGUCGUAAGACGAUGUAUGGGGGCUGACGCCUGCCCAGUGCCAGAAGGUUAAAGAAGUUGGUUAGCAAUUGCGAAGCUGAUAACUGAAGCCCUGGUGAACGGCGGCCGUAACAAUAACGGUCCUAAGGUAGCGAAAUUCCUUGUCGGGUAAGUUCCGACCCGCACGAAAGGCGUAAUGAUUUGGAUACUGUCUCGGAGAGGGGCUCGGUGAAAUAGACUUGUCUGUGAAGAUGCGGACUACCUGCACCAGGACAGAAAGACCCUAUGAAGCUUUACUGUAACUUGAAAUUGAAAUUGGACUUUAUUCGCGCAGUAUAGGUGGGAGGCGUUGAUUAUAAUCUUGUGGGAUUAUUGGACCAUCAGUGAGAUACCACUCUUGUAAUGUUAGAUUUCUAACUUUGAAUCAUUAUCUGGUCAAAGAACAGUUUCAGGCGGGCAGUUUGACUGGGGCGGUCGCCUCCUAAACGGUAACGGAGGCGUACAAAGGUUUCCUCUGAACGGUUAGAAAUCGUAUCUAGAGUGUAAAGGCAUAAGAAAGCUUGACUGUGAGACCUACAAGUCGAGCAGGGACGAAAGUCGGUCUUAGUGAUCUGACGGUACUGAGUGGAAAGGCCGUCACUCAACGGAUAAAAGUUACUCUAGGAUAACAGGCUGAUCUCCCCCAAGAGUUCACAUCGACGGGGAGGUUUGGCACCUCGAUGUCGGCUCAUCGCAUCCUGGGGCGGUAGUACGUCCCAAGGGUUGGGCUUUCGCCCAUGAAAGCGGUACGCGAGCUGGGUUCAGAACGUCGUGAGACAGUUCGGUCCAUAUCCGGUGUAGGCGUUAGAAUAUUGAGAGGAGCCUUCUUUAGUACGAGAGGACCGAGAAGGACAUACCUCUGGUGUACCAGUUAUCGUGCCAACGGUAAACGCUGGGUAGCUAUGUAUGGAGUGGAUAACCGCUGAAAGCAUCUAAGUUGGAAGCCCACCUCAAGAUAAG